CACACCUUCAGCAUUGAAGCCAUUUCUACGCAGACCUCAUCCUGCCAUCAUGAGAUUCCACCACAGAGCCGUCUUUCAAAUACUCCAAUGGUUAGAAAUUAUAUUGCACUCAUAUUUUGGUUUAAAAAGAUGAGUGGGUGUGCACACAUGUGUGUAUUCAGUUGUGGGAAUUCACCAAGAUAAUGGUAGUAUCUGGUGGAAGAAAACCCCAACGGCUGUCUGCCCUCCAACUCCAUCUUAUCUUUUAAUGUUUCUAAGAAAGUUUCUCAUCUGUUUCUCCCCAAAACUGGAGGUGGUAGUGGGAAGAGAAUUAAUGUAUUUUGAUUCUAGACACUUGAUACUACUUUAAUCAAUAGCCCUUAAGAUCAAGUGCCAUUAUUGCCAUUUUAAGGUGAAGACACUGGGUUCAAAUACUGGGAAGCUCACCAUUCAAAUAAAGCUCUCAGAGAGUAGAACUGUGUUUUGUUCACUUCUAUACCCAGACCACAGUUUCUGAGGUGUCAUGGGGACCCUCUCGGGAAAGCCCAGCUCACUGUGGGGACAAGGAUGAUGACUCAGAUUGGAAACUCAGGCCAAAUUUAAAGUGUUGGUGAAUGAGCCCAGGCAGAAGAUGGGGAAGGUCUGGAGAAGGCCUCCUCCAUGGGCUGGGCCAGGGUAUUGUCUGGAUUUCCUCAAUAAUAGGUUAUGGGGUUGCAAAGAAAAAUGGGCUUCAGAGUAGGAGAGAAAUACCCAUUCUGCCCAGUUACAAACUGUGUCAUUUUGUCAUCUCUUAUAUGGUCUCUCUGAGCUUUCAUUUUUCUAUCUAAAACAGCAAUAUCAUACUUAUCUCAGACAGCCAUGAGUACUGAAUCAGAGUAUUACAUGGUAUUAAAUGAGAGAAGCGUAGCUAUUCCUGGCCCAGAUCUUGGCAUACAAUGGAUGCUCCAUAAAUAUUUGCUUCUUCCCGCCAUUUCCCCUACUCCAAAGCAGUCAGAGACUUUCUUUAUAAGGUGAGAGGUUAAAAAGUAUAUUAAGUAUCACUGCAACCUCCAACAUUCACAAUCUCAGUGUCUUUAUGAAAUGGAACAGUAUCUAGAAAUGAUGAUUUAAAAAAAAAUUCAGAAUAAUGAAACAAGAAUAUGAUACAGUGGAAUUACUGUCUUCAUUUCACGUUUUUUUUUUUUCUCCCCUGUAAUUGAAACCAUUUUCAAGUUUUAUUUAGUACAAAAUUAAUUUCACAUUUUCAUCAAGGAACUCAUGUGGAUCCCAGGGUGAUUCAGAUUUUCCAAUACAGAAAUUCAUAGCGUUCAUUACUGGUAUUUUCAAAGACAAAAGAGUUUAUGCCAGAGGAAACCAUUUUGGUCCUGCCUUAUGAGCAAAAUAAAAAAAAAAAAACAAAACCAAAAAAAACCAACCCUUUUACAUGACACUUCCAAAUUCAGGCCUAACAUUAAUGUUUUGUAAGAAAGCUGCUUUAAAAAAACAAAAACAAAAAACAGUCUAUAGGCGUCUACUCAGCCCCAACUUUCUCAUUUCCCAAAUAAAAAACACAAUUUGAUUUACCUUAGAAAUAAACUGGUUUCCUCUUGAAUUGAACACAGAAACAAAUGACACUGGGCCCACUCGUCAGGGAGAAAUGCACAUCAUGUCAACAUGGGUGGAGUUCUGGCCACAGAAAGAGGAAAGUCGGCCUCCCUGACCCCAGGGCUGCUGUAUGCAGGUUUGUGCUAUAACACGGGGGGCCCCUCUAGGCUAGAUUCUGUCCCAAGCAAAGAAGAGCAGAGGUUGUGCUUUGGAACAUCAGACCUAUGCAUUUUAGGGGGCACUCUCUGCUUUUAGUUGCCAGAACAUAAUCCAAAGUCAGAAAAGCCAGCCAAGAAAGGACAGGUCGGCAGGGAGCAGUGGCCAUGGAAGGGUGAAUGGGUGACUUCUAGAUGCCCAUCCCCAGGGCUCACCAGCCCUGACCCUGAGAUCCUUCACCUGCUUCUCCCUAACGCUUGAAUCUAACCAUCCUCUUCCCAGGCCCUGUCCCCGGCUCUGGGACACCUCUCAGCAAUAUCCAGGUGUAGUCAUCCCUCUGUUUCCUAACACUGGGGAUUCUAACAUUUGUUCCAUGGCUUAACACUCUUAGUUCCUGCUCCCUCUUUGAGUUUUCAAUUGAGGUAAAAUUUACUUAACAUAAAAUCUACCAUUUUAACCAUUUUAAAAUGUACAAUUCAGGGUCUUUUGGUAAACUCACAGUGUUGUACAACCACCACCAGAAUUUUUUUUUUUUCUUUUUUGGUCCUCCGUCCAGGGCAGGCAUAAGUUCCUGGACCGGGGAUCAAACCCAUGCCACAGCAGUGAUAAUGCUGGACCCUUAA
This 2342-nucleotide long non-coding RNA is filed under the name Sus scrofa (pig). RNAcentral's name for it is "lncRNA (multiple genes)". Lineage: Eukaryota; Metazoa; Chordata; Mammalia; Artiodactyla; Suidae. The record is from RNAcentral.